UGUCAUACAGAAAUAUCAAUGGUUGCAACAUUAUCAGCCAAAAGAAACUCUUCUCUGACCAAAAAUCAUCAAUGAACUUUCAUAAAUGUAUGGUCAUUCAAUAGGGAUCAUCAACUCAAUAUCAAUAAGCCCUGUUUGAGAAGGCUCGUAUAAAUAAUACCUAGUAUGGGGGAUUCAAUUAACCCAGAUUCAUCACCAAAAACCAUAACAUAGAACCGAAUUUCCAUACAGCGCAUUUUGAUUCUAAAAUCUGUGUGACGACACCAACCACAAGCAGCAAAUGAAUAAGCAAUAAGCAGGGUUUGUGAAUAAACUAACCUGAAGGAUCUUAACUCUACCAGCAACAUCAGGCCUAUCCACAGUAACCUGUCGAUCGAACCUCCCAGGCCUUAGCAAUGCAGAAUCAAGAACGUCUGGUCUAUUAGUGGCAGCCAAUACAAUGACACCUGAAUUUCCGGAGAAUCCAUCCAUCUCUGUCAACAGCUGAUUGAUGGUUUGCUCUCUCUC
This 507-nucleotide long non-coding RNA is filed under the name Vitis vinifera (wine grape). RNAcentral describes it as "long non-coding RNA (VVIN_LNC005868)". The record is from RNAcentral. Lineage: Eukaryota; Viridiplantae; Streptophyta; Magnoliopsida; Vitales; Vitaceae.